Brienomyrus brachyistius is the source of this 1315-nucleotide long non-coding RNA. RefSeq lists it as uncharacterized. The record is from RefSeq and is a predicted model, not a curated record. The transcript is spliced from 3 exons. Lineage: Eukaryota; Metazoa; Chordata; Actinopteri; Osteoglossiformes; Mormyridae.
CCUAAAGACUAUUUACAAGGUAAUAAAACGGUUAUAUAAAUGUGAAUACGUGUGUAGACUUGUCUCGAAAUGAAAAUCUCACGCCAACCAGCUGACCAAAGUUGGCAACCCUGCGUAAGUCGGCCCUUUAUUUUAUAUGCAAACAUGAUCAUAUGCAGGGGGCACAUACCUGGUGUGAAAGUACUUAUUCGCCGUUUAAACCGAUACGCGCGGUAAUGUCUUGUAGCAGCGCAAAUACGUGUUUAUUUUAUGUACAUUCGCAAUGUUAUGACAAGAAAUCAUUGUGCAUUUUAGCCUUCAUGCCGCAGACGAAGUACAAAUUAGCCACAUAAAUGUUAAGAUGCAGGGUAAUUUCUUUUCAUAACAGCGUGAAUGCACAUAAAAUAAAUGGUACGCAUUUGCGCUGCUACAACAAGGAGUUGCCGCGAGUGUACAGGGAAUGCGUACUUGCGCACCAUGCAGUUAUGUGAUCCUGAUCAUAUGUAUAGUAUAUUGUACAAUAAAUGCUAUGACAUUUAAGUUGUAUUGUUGGAUCUUUUUUAAUCAUAAUUUUCUUCGUUCAUUCCUGCCGACAGUUGGGGCAGAGACUGUCAUAUGCUCUGGGUAACACUCACAGCCAGACGCGGCCUAACAGUAAAACAUUUAGAAAUGUGACAAAAGGUCUUCUGUUUGUCCAUUUAUUCCUACAUAGAGUUUUAAUCCCGUUUACAUGAAAAGCUGUACUUUUUGUGUCCCUGACAAUUCCAAAUUUCUUUUUGCAGCAAACUGACAAACAGAAUAAGUCCAGGAUACUGGAAAAUACUUGAAAAACAUGGUAAAGUGGAUUUCAGCAUUUUCUGUCGUCACAUUUGUAUUAGAAUUGUAACAAAUGUCUUCGUUAGUACUAUAUUGUAUUUCGCAGGAUGUUCCUUGACAGAUUGGUUCUGUGGACUGUGGUGCGUUCAUGUUGAUUGUUGUCACGUCACGGAUCGGGGAAGCAGGAGCAGGAAGACGGAGAAUCGGGAAACAAAGGAUUUAUUGGGGAAACCAGCUAGGAACACGGGGCAAUAGAAGUAGCGACUUAAAUGACAUGAUUGGGGAAACAUAUUUUGAAGCGGAGUUAAAUACAUAGGACUAAUGAAAACAACUGGAAACAGCGAAUGACAUCGGGGUUCCACACGAGGUUAACGAGGGGGCGUGGCACACGGGAGGAGCGGACAAGCGGCGCAUGACAAUUUGAGUUGCAGGGAUUUGACAAAAACAUCCUUUUAGAAAUGCGUGAGGAAGGUCAAGACUCUGGUCUCCAGCUCACCGCUCUCUCUUACAUUUCCAUGGC